UGAGCAACCUGCCCUUGACUCUGGAAUAACAGUUGGAAACAGCUGCUAAUACCGGAUAUGACCUCUGACGACAUCGUCUGGAGGUGGAAAGCUCCGGCGGUCAAGGAUGGGCUCGCGGCCUAUCAGCUUGUUGGUGAGGUAACGGCUCACCAAGGCUUCGACGGGUAGCCGGCCUGAGAGGGCGACCGGCCACACUGGGACUGAGAUACGGCCCAAGACUCCGUAGGA
This 228-nucleotide ribosomal RNA is filed under the name uncultured bacterium. Its description in RNAcentral is "partial 16S ribosomal RNA". It matches the Rfam family "Bacterial small subunit ribosomal RNA", at positions 118 to 346 of the family's 1533-position model. The record is from RNAcentral.